ACCCGGCUGACGAGUCCUAGAUAGGGUGAAACGGUCGUCCUGGAU
Molecule: non-coding RNA, 45 nt
Organism: Schistosoma haematobium
Lineage: Eukaryota; Metazoa; Platyhelminthes; Trematoda; Strigeidida; Schistosomatidae
Source: Rfam